ACUCUCAGCAACGGAUAUCUUGGCUCUUGCAACGAUGAAGAACGCAGCGAAAUGCGAUACGUAGUGUGAAUUGCAGAAUUCCGCGAAUCAUCGAGUCUUUGAACGCAAGUUGCGCCCGAGGCUUGACCAAGGGCAUCCCUGCCAGAGCGUCACCGCG
This 157-nucleotide ribosomal RNA is filed under the name Dicranoloma dicarpon. RNAcentral's name for it is "Dicranoloma dicarpum 5.8S ribosomal RNA". It matches the Rfam family "5.8S ribosomal RNA". Rfam says of the family: 5.8S ribosomal RNA (5.8S rRNA) is a component of the large subunit of the eukaryotic ribosome. It is transcribed by RNA polymerase I as part of the 45S precursor that also contains 18S and 28S rRNA. Functionally, it is thought that 5.8S rRNA may be involved in ribosome translocation. The record is from RNAcentral. Lineage: Eukaryota; Viridiplantae; Streptophyta; Bryopsida; Dicranales; Dicranaceae.